Molecule: ribosomal RNA, 253 nt
Filed under: uncultured bacterium
Lineage: Bacteria
Description: partial 16S ribosomal RNA
Rfam family: Bacterial small subunit ribosomal RNA
Source: RNAcentral
GACAGAGGGUGCAAACGUUGUUCGGAAUUACUGGGCGUAAAGCGUGUGUAGGUGGCUGCGUAAGUCGGAUGUGAAAGCCCUGGGCUCAACUCAGGAAGUGCACUCGAUACUGCGUAGCUUGAGUACCGGAGAGGUUGGUAGAAUUCUCGGUGUAGAGGUGAAAUUCGUAGAUAUCGAGAGGAAUACCUGUGGCGAAGGCGGCCAACUGGACGAGUACUGACGCUGAGGCACGAAGGCCAGGGGAGCAAACGGG